GGCCACCAAGUCCCCCAAGAAGGCUUAAGUGCUUUCUCCCAUUAUCAAAGCCAAUUUCUGUGCCUUAAAUCUUGUGUCUUUGUUGUAUGUAAUUUUAGUUUUAGAGAUGGGUUAUUUUGUUGUAGGGGAAAGUUGUUAGAAACAAUGUGUAAUUCCUUUGAUCUUUGCAAUACUAUGUUAGGAUUUGACCAUUUAAGAUUAAUGGAUGAAGCUCUUUCUUUUAAAACUAAAAUUACAUACAACAAAGACA
This 250-nucleotide unclassified non-coding RNA is filed under the name Hevea brasiliensis (rubber tree). Lineage: Eukaryota; Viridiplantae; Streptophyta; Magnoliopsida; Malpighiales; Euphorbiaceae. The record is from RNAcentral.